AGUUUGUUCCUGGAAAGGAGAGAGAGCAUAUAUACUGUCCAGGGCUUUGGGAGCUGUCAAGCCUGUUUGGAAAGAAAGAUGAAGCCUUUGUUGCGAGACGUCUGGAGAACCUUUAGCGGCGUUUGCCUUGGGAUAUGCAUCAGACUGUCCGUAGGGACAGACGGACUCUCUGGAGACUUGCUUCCCAGGAAGAAUGAGUAAAAGAAAAGCUCAUGAGGGGAAACUGGAGAAAGGAAAAUAAAAAGGAAGUAGAGUCAAUGAGAAGAGCAAAGGAAGAAAUGACAAGGAAGACUUUGGCAUGGUGAGUUUGGACUGUGAGCUGUUUUGUCCUGCCAUAGCAACAAGGAUUCUAAUUUGUGCUUCACUGCUGCAUGUAUUGGACAACCAGUGGAUUAGACCUCACAGGAUUCAUUUUAUUUUUGCCAUUGGAUAGCAUUUCACUAGCUCUUUCAUCUGUCAUUUUUUCCUCUCUAUUUUGCAGUAUCCUCAAUUUAAAACAACAAAAAUUUUAUA
Molecule: long non-coding RNA, 513 nt
Organism: Ornithorhynchus anatinus (platypus)
Lineage: Eukaryota; Metazoa; Chordata; Mammalia; Monotremata; Ornithorhynchidae
Exons: 3
Source: RefSeq, a predicted model, not a curated record